Molecule: non-coding RNA, 72 nt
Organism: Bos taurus (domestic cattle)
Lineage: Eukaryota; Metazoa; Chordata; Mammalia; Artiodactyla; Bovidae
Source: Rfam
UCCCUGGUGGCUCAGAGGUUAAAGCAUCUGCCUGCAAUGUGGGAGACCUGGGUUCGAUUCCUGGGUUGGGAA